AUGAACGCUGGCGGCGUGCCUAAUACAUGCAAGUCGAGCGAACGGACGAGAAGCUUGCUUCUCUGAUGUUAGCGGCGGACGGGUGAGUAACACGUGGAUAACCUACCUAUAAGACUGGGAUAACUUCGGGAAACCGGAGCUAAUACCGGAUAAUAUUUUGAACCGCAUGGUUCAAAAGUGAAAGACGGUCUUGCUGUCACUUAUAGAUGGAUCCGCGCUGCAUUAGCUAGUUGGUAAGGUAACGGCUUACCAAGGCAACGAUGCAUAGCCGACCUGAGAGGGUGAUCGGCCACACUGGAACUGAGACACGGUCCAGACUCCUACGGGAGGCAGCAGUAGGGAAUCUUCCGCAAUGGGCGAAAGCCUGACGGAGCAACGCCGCGUGAGUGAUGAAGGUCUUCGGAUCGUAAAACUCUGUUAUUAGGGAAGAACAUAUGUGUAAGUAACUGUGCACAUCUUGACGGUACCGAAUCAGAAAGCCACGGCUAACUACGU
This 495-nucleotide ribosomal RNA is filed under the name uncultured bacterium. RNAcentral describes it as "partial 16S ribosomal RNA". It matches the Rfam family "Bacterial small subunit ribosomal RNA", at positions 29 to 506 of the family's 1533-position model. The record is from RNAcentral.